UGCCGGUUAGCUCAGUUGGUUAGAGCGUGGUGCUAAUAACGCCAAGGUCGUGGGUUCGAUCCCCAUACUGGCCA
RNAcentral lists this transfer RNA (74 nucleotides) under Salmo salar (Atlantic salmon). It matches the Rfam family "tRNA". From Rfam's summary of the family: Transfer RNA (tRNA) molecules are approximately 80 nucleotides in length. The record is from Rfam by way of RNAcentral. Lineage: Eukaryota; Metazoa; Chordata; Actinopteri; Salmoniformes; Salmonidae.